UACAAACUAAGAUGAAAUAUACUCAUAGUCCAAACAGAGUGCAAUAUCUUUGUUUCAUUACAAUCAAUUCAUUACAUUUAAAAUAGGAGCUUCACACAACCUAACUGUUCCAUCUCCCAAAUUCUAAUUACAAAAUUUUCCUAUUUAGGCAUCUUCUUGCACAGAGAUGGUUCCAAAGUAGAAAAAUCAAGGAAUCCCAUAUGGUUAUCAAAUAAAUCGGCGGUUUGCGUCUAACAUUUUGAGCUUCAUUUACAAGAGUCCUCAACUUGCUCAACAAACCAGGAAUCACUUGAAUGGCUCUCGGUUGCAUCGGACCCGCAACCAUGAGGUUGUCAAAAAAGAAGUAUCAACAUAGCUGGGUGAUGACAAUAGCAGUGAUUAACUGCGGCCAUUUAAAUUGACUCUUUCCGGUGUUGGGGAUGCGGUGCAUGCAACAUAAUCAAAAUAAAUCAAAUGAACAAAAAAAGGAUAUACACUUAAAAUAUACAUCACAAUAAAUCCUGAGUUAUGAGCAAAUACGGUCAAACUGAACAGAAAAAAGAUACAUAGGGGCUUUCACAUGGCAAGUGAAAUAGUGGACUACUCCAUUCAAAACUAAUAGAACGCAAGAAAAAGCUGUCAACAUUUUUAACAACCAAGCUCUUCAUCGUUUCGCAUGAAUAUGAUACCUAAGUAAAAUUCAUUCGAAUAAGUCGCAUGAAAAUAAAUUCUUAAACUUCCAGCUUUUUUGUUAGGCUAAGACUCUAGCUCUAGCAUAUGAGACAUACUCAUACGCCAUUAAAUAAUAAUAUAAAGCCAUUAGUACCCAUAUGUAGUUAAGCACUUUCUUAAGCAAUAAAUUGAAAUCUAAUCUUAUGCAAGAUGUUUCCAGCUUAUCACUGCAGAUAUAUAUAGUCAGGUGAAUUAAAUUAAUAAUACAUAGAAAUUGAUAAGAAUUAAGGCAAUAUCUGUAGACAUGUCUUAAUUGAUCUGAUCUGAAAAACGAAUAAGAUGUUAUUUUAGUAUUAAAAAAACAAUUAGAUAUUCAGUUGUGUAUGAUGCAUAGACUACGUUGUAUUCACUGUCUUUGCUUUACAAAAUUCUUCUACAUAUUCUAAAUUACACUCGGAUCUCCAACUUAAAAAUUGUACAUAUACAAAACGCAGAGAGCAGAGUAUGAAUGUAACCUCGGAGGAAGAAGCAGAAGCAGAAGCAGAAGCAGAAGCAGGGGAAAAGAUACAUAGGGGCUUUCACAUAGCAAGUGAAAUAGGGGACUUUUUCAAGUGUAAGCAAUAGAGUACUCUAAAG
Molecule: long non-coding RNA, 1287 nt
Filed under: Panax ginseng (ginseng)
Lineage: Eukaryota; Viridiplantae; Streptophyta; Magnoliopsida; Apiales; Araliaceae
Description: long non-coding RNA (PGIN_LNC014831)
Source: RNAcentral